CUGUGGAUUGUCCUUUGGACAAUGGUAGGAGAGCGUUCUAAGGGCGUUGAAGCAUGAUCGUAAGGACAUGUGGAGCGCUUAGAAGUGAGAAUGCCGGUGUGAGUAGCGAAAGACGGGUGAGAAUCCCGUCCACCGAUUGACUAAGGUUUCCAGAGGAAGGCUCGUCCGCUCUGGGUUAGUCGGGUCCUAAGCUGAGGCCGACAGGCGUAGGCGAUGGAUAACAGGUUGAUAUUCCUGUACCACCUAUAAUCGUUUUA
Molecule: ribosomal RNA, 257 nt
Filed under: Staphylococcus aureus
Lineage: Bacteria; Bacillati; Bacillota; Bacilli; Caryophanales; Staphylococcaceae
Description: partial 23S ribosomal RNA
Rfam family: Bacterial large subunit ribosomal RNA
Source: RNAcentral